This 301-nucleotide ribosomal RNA is filed under the name uncultured bacterium. Its description in RNAcentral is "partial 16S ribosomal RNA". It matches the Rfam family "Bacterial small subunit ribosomal RNA", at positions 509 to 807 of the family's 1533-position model. The record is from RNAcentral.
CAGUAGCCACGGUAAUACGUAGGGUGCGAGCGUUAAUCGGAAUUACUGGGCGUAAAGCGUGCGCAGGCGGUUGUGUAAGACAGGUGUGAAAUCCCCGGGCUUAACCUGGGAACUGCGCUUGUGACUGCACAGCUAGAGUAUGGCAGAGGGGGGUGGAAUUCCGCGUGUAGCAGUGAAAUGCGUAGAUAUGCGGAGGAACACCGAUGGCGAAGGCAGCCCCCUGGGCCAACACUGACGCUCAUGCACGAAAGCGUGGGGAGCGAACAGGAUUAGAUACCCCAGUAGUCCCUGUCUCUUAUAC